This is a non-coding RNA of Cordylochernes scorpioides, 73 nucleotides long. The record is from the annotation of a GenBank genome assembly. Lineage: Eukaryota; Metazoa; Arthropoda; Arachnida; Pseudoscorpiones; Chernetidae.
UCCAGGGUAGACUAGUGGACAUGGCACCUGCCCGGUAAGCAGAAGGUUGUGGGUUCGAUUCCCGCCCCUGGAC